Non-coding RNA from Rattus norvegicus (Norway rat), 6782 nucleotides. The record is from RefSeq and is a predicted model, not a curated record. NCBI's taxonomy places the organism in Eukaryota, Metazoa, Chordata, Mammalia, Rodentia, Muridae.
UCUGCCAUGGCUUACCUCAGCACCUGCUCUUGGCCCCAGCCCUUCUGGCAUGGCGGACUUGGUUUGUCUCUUCCUUUGUCCUAUCAGAGCAGUUUUCCUUUUCCUGCCCGGAUGCUGAUUUACGCGAGAGGCAGAACAUUCUCGCUACAGUUUGGUAGCUCCUGCCAAGUGCCUGUCAGAACGUCUGUACCUGUUUAGCUAGGACCCCCGGGAACGUCUGUUUACUCUCAGCCUGGCGCGAUUUGCCUUGCCAAUCUGAUAAGCGAGUCUAAUAGCCAUUUUCACUUGUCUAAUUAAAAAACACAUUUUCAUCUUUUCUCAUGCUUAUUGGUUGUUCGAGUUCCUUAUUUGUGGGCUACCCGUUCAUAUCCUUUAUCUAGUUUUCUAUCAAUUGGUAGGUCUUUUUUUUUUUCUUGUUGCCUUGCAACGCAUUAAAUCCCUCCUUUGUUAGGCUGGAACUGGGCAGUCCCACCCUUCUCUUCAUGGGCGUUGUCCUCUGUCAGGCAGAGUUAGAGGUUUUGAUGUUAGAAAGAAAUCCACCCCCCACCCCAGAACCACGGGAAGGUGGCGUACCAGCCUGUGUGCUAUGGGGAGGUCUCUGGUUUCCUCCGGUCUCGACCCUGUCAGCUGUCUCCAUUCUUCUGCUUUCAAACGGGAAUUCAGAUGGGACACAGAGGAUGGGCACUUCCAGGACAGGGCGUGCUUUCGUGAAACUCCAUUUAGCCCAGAAUUCAGUCUGUUGAAGUAAGUACAUCAGGUGCAAGAAUAUGUAUAGGGACCAAGAACCCCUGAACCUGCACAGGUCAGUAGGGGGGAGGUGACACCCUUCAGUGUAUGCUCUCUAGGGAGGGAGGAAAGUCCCCAAAGCUGGACCCAGCUGGAGUUGACCACUACCACCUCUGUUCUUUAUAUCUUGGUUUGGGGGUCUCUGAGCUGGCCCUUCUAGAGAGCUCACCACUACCUAUAGCUCUUUAUGCUCUGUUUUGGGGGUUCCAUUGGUUAGUCUGUCCCAUGCUAACCUCCUAUCAAAUCAUGGGACCAAACAAGUCAGAGACGAGGAUCCAUGGGCAGGGGGAUGUAGGGACGUUCACAGUGCCAUUAGGGCACUCUCUGGGCUCUGCUCACCAUUGUGAGGGUGUCGCUCAGUGGGGUGGCUGCGAGGUUCUCAGUGGCUCUAUUUAUGAGGCUAAGUGUAACUAACAAAUCUUGUCAAAAAGUAGUGUGAUUAGGAAACUGUAUUUUUCCCCGCACGGAGAGUCUGAAGGUAGCUGGCUUGGGGAGGGAUUUAGUAACCUAAAGGUCAUACUCUGUGGGGUUUUCUUGCUUAUAAAAAAUAACCACCGUUGAUGACCUUGGCACAUCCCGGGAACACAGGGCACAUGGUGGCAUCCAGGGAACAGAACGCAGGACACAUGGCAGUGUCACAGGACACAUGAUGGCAGCAUGAAGGGAACAGAGGACACAAGGCAUAUCACAGGGCACAUGGCGGCACGCAGGGAGCACAGGGCACCCGACAGCGUUUAGCCAGGCGUACCUCUCAUCUUCCCAGAACUUGUCCUCACACCUCAGCAGAUGCUCAUCUGUUUCCUCUGACUGAAAGGAGCUCACUCCAAAGGACAGGAAACCAGAAACUGUCCCUCAGCUAAGGGACAUCCAGCCACGUCUGCCCCAGGGCAUCGCUCCUGCCCCUCAUGUUUGCCUGCUUGAACCAACUCCCAUGAGUGGAUCUGCUCACCGGAUCUGCUUCGAGGUCACAUGGUUCAGUCUGCAUCCUGUGAAUGGGCAGGGGAAAGUGAGUGAGGGCUUGCCAGUGUGUAUGUACCGGGAGGUGACACUGCGGUGUCCGAGUCCUCAUUGCUGGUGUAGUGACAACUCAUGGCAGUGUCUGAAGGGGAGCCUCUGCAGGGCAUGGGUUGCCAACUUCUCACCUCCUCACCAGCGAGCCAUGGAGAGACUCCGACCCUGUCAUGCCUGUGACUGCCCACUUGGAAAUGGAAGCAAAGUUGCCACUGUCACUCUAGCCCAGCAGAGUGCCCAGCAGCUGAAGCAGGCGUUCAGAAAACCCCACUUCCCACCUCUGCCAGAGUAGAGGUCGCUGUGAAGGUCAGUGGUGACUCGUCCCCUUCAUCCCGAGUCCUUGUCCAUUCCUGCUGGGCUGACUGGAGGCCGUCUCCUCAUGGCUUAUGAUCCCCCACGAACCCAUUACCAGCGCCGGAGUCAGAGUUUCACAGGCUCGUGGCCUCUGUGUGCCAAAACAGAUUCAGUUUGGAAGCAGGCCAGAUGCUUACAGCUCCAAAAUGGCUUGGCAAAGUGUCUGAGACACGGCUUGUGGUUGGUGCUGGGUGAAAACGCUCCCACAUUUGUUAGUGAUUAACUGGUCUGCAGAUGGAGCUCAGUGCACCUCUGCGACCCACAGAUAAACCAGCUCAUUCCUGACAAUCAAAGCAGUUGUAAGAAUCCUCCAGCACAGGGUCCUCCCCCAGCACAGGGGUGCUCUAACUCAUGGUCCCCCCAGCACAGGGGAGCUCUAGCUCAUGGUCUCCCCAGCACAGGGGUGCUCCAGCUCAUGGUCCCCCCAGCACAGGGAUGCUCUAGCUCAGGGUUACUGGGAGGAGAAUAUCACCAGAGAAAGAAGGGAGCCUAGACUGUGAAAGCAGAGUGUGAGGCAGGCCCUGGGAAGGCCUGGGCAGGCCAAUGGCUAUGUGUUGUUUCUGGAGUCUGUGGCUUUCCUGGAACCCCCUUCUUGUGGGAAAGACACAAAGUGACAGGGAGGAGGGGUCUGGAAGUUGGGGGCCCUUGCAAACCUUACGCAGCAGCAGGUACGUGCUUAAGCUCAGGGCCAAUAAAUAUGGAUGAGAAGCAGCCAUCAGGUUGAACUUCACUCUUUAGAUGGAAUGUCCCUGGGCUCUUGAGAGGCAAAGAACCCAGAGAUUAAGGCCAGGGGGACAGCCACAGGCCACGGCCACCUAGCUUAGUGAAUGUGACGGGUGGGGAUCACAGGUAGUUACACAUUUGAGUAACAUUCAGGAAAGACAUACCGUCAGGGAGUAAGGCUUCCUCUGGGCAUCCUUUCUCACCGCAGGGAAAGGCGUGCAUGGCAGAGUCCCUGGUGGCUCCUCGCUGUGGCUGCCGGAAUCUCCCAGUGCUUGCUUAGAUCCUAGAGCAGUGGUUUUCAAUCUCUCCAUUGUGACCCCUUUGGGGAUCACAUAAGAAUCUGUGUAUCAGAUUCUUACGUUAUGAUUCAUAACUGUAACAAAACUACACCGCAACAUGAGGAAGUGUAUCAAAGGGUCGCAGCAUUAGGAAGGUUGAGAACCACUGGACUAGAGCCUCAGGAAACUGGCAGCCCUGUUGUAACAGGGGUGGGGCUAAUGAAGGCCCACCCACCAGUGACUCACUUCCUCCAACUAGACCCCGUAUCAGACGGAUUCUAAAAUCCUCCAAACAGAACCGCUGUCAGGACACUACGUGAUCAGGCACAGGAACCCAAGGGACGGUUCACGCUAAGUGUGUGGAAAUUGAUCUGGAUCCUUAUGGCAGAGGAGAGAUGGUGGGUAAGACACUCAGAGUAGCUCACACACCUCAGAAGUUGCCAGUGUAAUCUCACUGAGCAGAAAGAAACCUUUUCAUAACUUAAAAAAAUAAUGAAUUUUGUGGGCGAUAGUUUUUAUUUUUUAAACCUAUGAUUGACCAGUGUGGCCCACGUGAAGAGGCAACAGACAGAUUCACCAUGGCACUGUUUACUUCAUUGAGAAAGUGGAAGUCACUGGGACAGAAAAGACUCUACUGCUAUACAGCUCCAACACUGGGCAUCCACCUGUCUCCAGGAAUGGCACCUCUUACUCGCCUUCUCUCUGAGCCCUGGAUGGAACGGAAAAGCAAGUAAGGAGAGAACAGGCUGGGCCAGGCUGCAGGAACAAACGGUGGCAUCCAUAAGAAGAGGGCCCUCGCUAUCCCUUCCCUUCCCCCAUCGUCCCCAUCUGGGACAUGGAUUGAGGGUGGCUUUCUUCCUGUUCCCACAGGAGCACAGGCAGGGCAUUUGCGCACACAGCUCAGCGUUUACUCUUCUGCCCUGAUGUGACACACACAGGAAGUAGGAGAGUGACAGUCCCCAUCGUCACCCCUGACUGUGGAGUGGCUUCCACCAGACACUUUCACAGAGCACGGAGUGAUGGAAGCCCCACAUGUGUGUCUGGUCAUCCCAGGUCCCCUGUGUGCCCGUGUGCUGUGGCCGCUAAGAGGGCAGUGCUUCUUCCUAACACUGCCUUGUGCGGGGCACAGCUGGAGAGGGGGCAUCUGAUUUCAGCCUGUGUCCCGGUCCGACCACAGCGCUGAUUUAAGCGCACAGGCCUCCUUCCCAGGCAGGGUCCUCUGAGCUCACUGGUUCCCUCUGCUCUGUUUGUCUUCCAGGCUCUGCUUCAUCCACCGUCCAAUUACGCAAGACGUCCUGACCGAGCAGCAACCAGCACAGGACCUCCUCUCCACUGACACUUGGUGCUGCGGGUCUCAUUCCUGACUGACAGGGCCAGCGACUUCUCUUGUCAAGCCUGGUCUUCUCCAAGAUACAAAUGACAAGAUGGGCAACCGAAGGCUGCAUGGCUGAUGAACAGGCAAAGGGUGCGGAUUAAAAACACAGCAGCUGGAACCCUGGGCUUAAUUGCUGACUUCCAAGAAGAACAUGGCAAUUGGGAGGUGCUAAAAGGAUGUUUUUAAAAUGGUUGAGCAUUUCUGUCUCUGACCACACGAGGUCUGUUGUUUGUGUUUACUCUGCUCUUUAGUUCUCCAAGGAGAGCUGUUGUGCCUAAUAUCACAACCAAACCCCCAGUGAUUCACUCUACAUGGUACAGUGCAUCCAAUGUGUAGGGAUUGUCCUAGGUUCCAGUCCCGGCCACAGGCAAUAAUCAGGCAAAAUGGGCCAGGAAGUGACAGAUGCUGAGUGAGACAGUAAAGUUGAGAAUGGCUGACUUGGGCCAAAGAGGCUUCUUCAGAAGAGAAUGGUGUGAACCCUGAGAGAGGGGAAGGUCGGGGACUCUUGGGAAAUGUUCUACACUGCAAACAGCAGUGCAAAGACCCUGAGCUAGGUCUGUUUGGCCAUUGUUGGGAGUCAGAGCACAGUGGGGAGACAAGGGUAGAGAGAAGGACGGAGAGGUGGGAAGGCUAGACCCAUAGAGAGAAAGACAGAGAGGUGGGAAGGCUAGAUUCAUAGAAAGAAGGAUGGAGAGGUGGGAAGGCUAGACCCACAGAGAGAAAGAUGGAGAGGUGGGAAGGCUAGACCCAUAGAGAGAAGGAUGGAGAGGUGGGAAGGCUAGACCUGCAGGUGCUCUGAGCUUUCUAUGCGGGAAGCAGAAGGUACGACUAUAAUUAAUUUACCUGUGAAAGGACCACUGAUGUGUGUUGGUGAGAGACUAGGGAGAGGGGCUAGGGUAGAGGCUGACAAGGAGCCCAGGAGACAAGUAAAGACAGUGCCUGAACAGCGGCUGGGACCAUUGUGGUGGAAGCAACAUAUAGGCAUGUAUGUAUGUGUGUAUGCACUUGUGUAUAUGUAUAUAUGUCAUAUUUAUAUAUGUAUAUAUGGUUUACAUAUAAAUCUCUUCAUAGUAUUUGUAUUUAUGUAUUUCUCAUGUGUGUAUGCACCGCGGCACCCAUGUAGGAGUCAUGGAAUAACUCAAAGGGGUUGCUUCUCCUCUGCUACCUUGAGAGUGCAGGGGUUAAAACUCAAGCAGCAGGCUUGCCCAUAAGUGCCUUCACUGGCUGAUCCACACUGCCAGCAUCGUGUGUAUUUUUAAGGUAGCAUCAACCCCCUUUCCAACCAGGCACUGCACAUGAACCGUCAGACAACUCAGUUCUCACCAAAGUGCUUAGGUCGCUGGUCUGAGUAACUCGACCUUGAUCUGCGAGAGCCUGGUAGUCAUUUACAUGAAUUACACAGGGUUUGUCAUGGUUGUUGGAAUGAGACUUCUGCUUGUACCUCAAGUUAGCCUUUAACUCCCAAUCCUUCUUCAACCUCUUGAAAGUUGGGGUGUCAGGCAGAGAUGUAUACAGAAUUUUAAAGAAUGAGUUUUACGUUUUAGGAGGUCAGGACAGAGAUCAUCUUCAGCUCUGUCUUAAAGGGCUGGGCAUGGAUAGGGCUCAGGCUAAAGGCAUUUCUCCAUUUAAUCCUGCCUACCUGAGUUUGGAUCCCCAGAACCCAUGUAGGCACUAGACAUGGUGGCAUUCACUGGUAUUCCCAGCAUUCCUGUGGUUAGAUGAGAAGAAGAGACAAAAGAAUGUCCCAGGAGCUUGAGGUGUACACAGUGUAAGCAGUAAACAAGAGAUACUGUCUAAACAGGGCAUAAGGCAGAGACCAGGAUCAAGGCUGUUCCCUGGUCCCUACUCAUUCACUAUGGCAUGAAUGUAUCCUCACACACGACCAUGUAAACACAAACACAACACACACACAGACACACAUACAGACACAUACACAUAUACACACACAUACACACACACAGACACCCACACAUACACACACAUAUACACACACAUACCCACACAUACAUACACAUAUACACACAUACACAUACACACACAUAUACACACACAGACGUAUACACAUACACACACAUACGCACACAGACAUACACACACAUAUACACACACAUAUACACACACAUACAUACACACCAUACCACACACACACAGACACACACACAUACACACAUACAUACACAUACACCAACAUAUACACACACAGAUGCACACACACAACACACACACAUACACACACAUACACACACAUACACACA